Molecule: ribosomal RNA, 500 nt
Filed under: uncultured bacterium
Lineage: Bacteria
Description: partial 16S ribosomal RNA
Rfam family: Bacterial small subunit ribosomal RNA
Source: RNAcentral
AUUGAACGCUGGCGGCAUGCCUUACACAUGCAAGUCGAACGGCAGCGCGGACUUCGGUCUGGCGGCGAGUGGCGAACGGGUGAGUAAUACAUCGGAACGUACCCUGUUGUGGGGGAUAACUAGUCGAAAGAUUAGCUAAUACCGCAUACGACCUGAGGGUGAAAGUGGGGGACCGCAAGGCCUCACGCAGCAGGAGCGGCCGAUGUCUGAUUAGCUAGUUGGUGGGGUAAAGGCCCACCAAGGCGACGAUCAGUAGCUGGUCUGAGAGGACGAUCAGCCACACUGGGACUGAGACACGGCCCAGACUCCUACUGGGGGCAGCAGUGGGGAAGUUUGGGCAAUGGGGGCAACCCUGAUCCAGCAAUGCCGCGUGUGUGAAGAGGGCCUUCGGGUUGUAAAGCACGUUUGUCCGGAAAGAAAUCGCGCUGGUUAAUACCUGGCGUGGAUGACGGUACCGGAAGAAUAAGCACCGGCUAACGACGUGCCAGCCGCCGCGGUAA